CAAUAGCGUAUAUUUAAGUUGUUGCAGUUAAAAAGCUCGUAGUUGGAUUUUGGCUGAGAACGAUCGGUCCGCCGUUAGGUGUGCACUGAUUGGUCUCAGCUUCCUGGUGAGGAGGUGUGCUUCACGGCCACUUAGUCACCGUGGUUACUUUGAAAAAAUUAGAGUGUUCAAAGCGGGCUUACGCUUGAAUAUAUUAGCAUGGAAUAACACCAUAGGACUCCUGUCCUAUUUCGUUGGUCUCGGGACGGGAGUAAUGAUUAAGAGGAACAGUUGGGGGCAUUCGUAUUUCAUUGUCAGAGGUGAAAUUCUUGGAUUUAUGAAAGACGAACUUCUGCGAAAGCAUUUGCCAAGGAUGUUUUCAUUGA
RNAcentral lists this ribosomal RNA (365 nucleotides) under uncultured eukaryote. RNAcentral's name for it is "partial 18S ribosomal RNA". It matches the Rfam family "Eukaryotic small subunit ribosomal RNA", at positions 592 to 976 of the family's 1831-position model. The record is from RNAcentral.